This 405-nucleotide ribosomal RNA is filed under the name uncultured bacterium. RNAcentral describes it as "bacterial SSU rRNA". It matches the Rfam family "Bacterial small subunit ribosomal RNA", at positions 976 to 1381 of the family's 1533-position model. The record is from RNAcentral.
UAGCCUUGACAUACUACAGAAUUUGACAGAGAUGUUGAAGUGCCUUCGGGAGCUGUAAUACAGGUGCUGCACGGCUGUCGUCAGCUCGUGUCGUGAGAUGUUGGGUUAAGUCCCGCAACGAGCGCAACCCUCGUCCUUAGUUACUAACGGUUCGGCCGAGGACUCUAAGGAGACUGCCUUCGUAAGGAGGAGGAAGGUGAGGACGACGUCAAGUCAUCAUGGCCCUUACGGCUAGGGCAACACACGUGCUACAAUGGUUAGGACAAUGAGAAGCGAUACCGCGAGGUGGAGCAAAUCUAUAAACCUAAUCUCAGUUCGGAUAGCAGUCUGCAACUCGACUGCUUGAAGCUGGAAUCACUAGUAAUCGUAAAUCAGCUAUGUUAUGGUGAAUACGUUCCCGGGUCU